RNAcentral lists this ribosomal RNA (406 nucleotides) under uncultured bacterium. RNAcentral describes it as "partial 16S ribosomal RNA". It matches the Rfam family "Bacterial small subunit ribosomal RNA", at positions 29 to 526 of the family's 1533-position model. The record is from RNAcentral.
AUUGAACGCUGGCGGCAGGCCUAACACAUGCAAGUCGAGCGAGCGGCGGACGGGUGAGUAAUGUCUGGGAAACUGCCUGAUGGAGGGGGAUAACUACGGGAAACGGUAGCUAAUCCCGCAUACCAUCAGAUGUGCCCAGAUGGGAUUAGCUAGUAGGUGGGGUAACGGCUCCCCGAGGCGACGAUCCCUAGCUGGUCUGAGAGGAUGACCAGACACACGGGAACUGAGAUACGGUCCAGAUUCCGACGGGAGGCAGCAGUGGGGAAUAUUGGACAAUGGGCGUAAGCCUGAUGCAGCCAUGCCGCGUGUGGGAAGAAGGCCUUCGGGUUGUAAAGCACUUUCAGCGGGGAGGCGUUACCCGCAGAAGAAGCACCUGCUAACUCCGUGCCAGCAGCCGCGGUAAUAC